RNAcentral lists this ribosomal RNA (403 nucleotides) under uncultured bacterium. RNAcentral's name for it is "partial 16S ribosomal RNA". It matches the Rfam family "Bacterial small subunit ribosomal RNA", at positions 28 to 526 of the family's 1533-position model. The record is from RNAcentral.
GACGAACGCUGGCGGCGUGCCUAAUACAUGCAAGUCGAACGCAUUGGGGACGGGUGAGUAACACGUGGGUAACCUCCCAUCAGAGGGGAAAACAUUUGGAAACAGGUGCUAAACCGAUACUGAUGGAUGGCCCCGCGGUUCAUUAGCUAGUUGGUGAGGUAACGGCGCACCAAGGCCACGAUUCAUAGCCGGCCUGAGAGGGUGAGCGGCCACACUGGGACUGAGACACGGCCCCGACUCCUACGGGAGGCAGCAGUAGGGAAUAGUCGGCAAUGGACGAAAGUCUGACCGAGCAACGCUGCGUUAGUGAAGAAGGUUUUCGGAUCGUAAAACUGUGUUGUUAGAGAAGCGGUAUCUAACCAGAAAGCCACGGAUAACUACGUGACAGCCGCCGCGGUCAUUC